Molecule: ribosomal RNA, 497 nt
Filed under: uncultured bacterium
Lineage: Bacteria
Description: partial 16S ribosomal RNA
Rfam family: Bacterial small subunit ribosomal RNA
Source: RNAcentral
GAUGAACGCUGGCGGCGUGCUUAACACAUGCAAGUCGAACGAAGCAUUUGCGACAGAUUUCUUCGGAUUGAAGUUGCUUAUGACUGAGUGGCGGACGGGUGAGUAACGCGUGGGUAACCUGCCUCAUACAGGGGGAUAGCAGCUGGAAACGGCUGGUAAUACCGCAUAAGCGCACAGUACCACAUGGUACAGUGUGAAAAGCUCCGGUGGUAUGAGAUGGACCCGCGUCUGAUUAGCUAGUUGGUGAGGUAACGGCCCACCAAGGCGACGAUCAGUAGCCGACCUGAGAGGGUGACCGGCCACAUUGGGACUGAGACACGGCCCAGACUCCUACGGGAGGCAGCAGUGGGGAAUAUUGCACAAUGGAGGAAACUCUGAUGCAGCGACGCCGCGUGAGUGAAGAAGUAGUUCGCUAUGUAAAGCUCUAUCAGCAGGGAAGAUAGUGACGGUACCUGACUAAGAAGCUCCGGCUAAAUACGUGCCAGCCGCCGCCGUAA